GACGAACGCUGGCGGCGUGCCUAAUACAUGCAAGUUGAGCGCUGAAGGUUGGUACUUGUACCAACUGGAUGAGCAGCGAACGGGUGAGUAACGCGUGGGGAAUCUGCCUUUGAGCGGGGGACAACAUUUGGAAACGAAUGCUAAUACCGCAUAAAAACUUUAAACACAAGUUUUAAGUUUGAAAGAUGCAAUUGCAUCACUCAAAGAUGAUCCCGCGUUGUAUUAGCUAGUUGGUGAGGUAAAGGCUCACCAAGGCGAUGAUACAUAGCCGACCUGAGAGGGUGAUCGGCCACAUUGGGACUGAGACACGGCCCAAACUCCUACGGGAGGCAGCAGUAGGGAAUCGUCGGCAAUGGACGAAAGUCUGACCGAGCAACGCCGAGUGAGUGAAGAAGGUUUUCGGAUCGUAAAACUCUGUUGGUAGAGAAGAACGUUGGUGAGAGUGGAAAGCUCAUCAAGUGACGGUAACUACCCAGAAAGGGACGGCUAACUACGUG
RNAcentral lists this ribosomal RNA (497 nucleotides) under uncultured bacterium. RNAcentral's name for it is "partial 16S ribosomal RNA". It matches the Rfam family "Bacterial small subunit ribosomal RNA", at positions 28 to 507 of the family's 1533-position model. The record is from RNAcentral.